RNAcentral lists this ribosomal RNA (253 nucleotides) under uncultured bacterium. Its description in RNAcentral is "partial 16S ribosomal RNA". It matches the Rfam family "Bacterial small subunit ribosomal RNA", at positions 524 to 776 of the family's 1533-position model. The record is from RNAcentral.
GACGAACCGUGCGAACGUUGUUCGGAAUCACUGGGCUUAAAGGGCGCGUAGGCGGGUUCGCAAGUCUGUGGUGAAAGCCUCCAGCUUAACUGGAGAAGUGCCGUGGAUACUGCGAAUCUUGAGGAGGGUAGGGGCGUCUGGAACGGUCGGUGGAGCGGUGAAAUGCGUUGAUAUCGACCGGAACUCCGGUGGCGAAGGCGAGGCGCUGGACCCUUUCUGACGCUAAGGCGCGAAAGCCAGGGGAGCAAACGGG